RNAcentral lists this unclassified non-coding RNA (346 nucleotides) under soil metagenome. RNAcentral describes it as "partial contains 5.8S ribosomal RNA, internal transcribed spacer 2, and large subunit ribosomal RNA". The stretch from base 1 to 120 matches the Rfam family "5.8S ribosomal RNA", at positions 35 to 154 of the family's 154-position model. The record is from RNAcentral.
GAUGAAGAACGUAGCGAAAUGCGAUACGUAAUGUGAAUUGCAGAAUUCAGUGAAUCAUCGAGUCUUUGAACGCACACUGCGCCCCCUGGUAUUCCGGGGGGCAUGCCUGUCCGAGCGUCAUUGCUGCCCUCAAGCACGGCUUGUGUGUUGGGCCUCCGUCCUCCUCCCGGGGGACGGGCCCGAAAGGCAGCGGCGGCACCGCGUCCGGUCCUCGAGCGUAUGGGGCUUCGUCACCCGCUCUUGUAGGCCCGGCCGGCGCUUGCCGACACAUCAAUCUUUUUUUCCAGGUUGACCUCGGAUCAGGUAGGGAUACCCGCUGAACUUAAGCAUAUCAAUAAGCGGAGGA